Molecule: long non-coding RNA, 325 nt
Organism: Pectinophora gossypiella (pink bollworm)
Lineage: Eukaryota; Metazoa; Arthropoda; Insecta; Lepidoptera; Gelechiidae
Exons: 3
Source: RefSeq, a predicted model, not a curated record
UAUGAACGCUCUUUUCUACUUUGCCUUCUUUUUGUAGCAGGUGACCGAGUUUGAAAGUACAUUUUGUACAUUAUUAUUAUUAUAAUAAAAUAUCUAGAAAGUUUACAGGACCACAUCCAUCCUUUUCUCAUCCGACCUUUUCCUCUUCAUUGCUGGUCACAGCUGCUGGUCGACGAACGUAAAGGCACACAAAAGUGGUUUGAAGGUGUAAAGUAGAUACAUUCAUGGAGUUAGCUAGAAAGGAAGUCAGUAACAUGGAUUGGUUUGGAGGUAAGAAUUGCUUUUAUUUCUAAUUUUACUUUAUAUCCCUUACAUUAUUUUUUGA